RNAcentral lists this long non-coding RNA (623 nucleotides) under Equus asinus (donkey). RNAcentral's name for it is "lncRNA (ENSEASG00005033596.1)". Lineage: Eukaryota; Metazoa; Chordata; Mammalia; Perissodactyla; Equidae. The record is from RNAcentral.
CAGAGACCUGAGCAGUCUUCUGAUUUUCGUUUCUCAGCCAGGAGUGCCUGUGGGAAGAAAAUAAAUGGUUAUAUUCUCUUCCCAGAGCCCCAGCCUGUCUGAGGAGCCUGGGACCGAGCACACAGGAAGUUGUUUGUCCGCAGUCCCUGGAACCCUGCGUGGGGUUUUGGCUUAGAGUGUGGCAGGAGGUGGAGGAUAGGGAGGCAGAGAGCAAUGCGGACGGAGUGAUACCCUCAUCAAAAGUGACGGGGCCUUCCAAGAGCCCUGCCGUCUCGCCUUGCCGUCUGGGAGCCACGACUGUUAUCUCCCUCACCGACUUCUACAGAAUUAGCCUCACUGAGCAGGAGGAUUCUGGAGGCGGGGAGAUGGAGUCAUGUGAUCAGCCACAAGCAUAUACAGAACUAGCCAAUACAUGGAGCUCAAGGUGAACACCCAGCUCCCAGCACAGAGCCUGACGCAGAGCCGGAAUUGGAGCUGCAGUGAGAACCAGCAUGACAGAGACGGCACAGCGAGAGCACAGUGUGUCCAGAUGAGGAGAGCAUCUUAGAAAGGGGGCGGUCUGUCAAGAGGAUGAGCUGGCUUCACUCGUAACAGCACAAUUGCCGCAACAACUUCCAUUUCUU